AAUGAACGCUGGCGGCAUGCCUAACACAUGCAAGUCGAACGGGACCUUCGGGUCUCGUGCCGCACGGCUGCGUAACGCGGGGGAACCUGCCCUUAGGUUCGGAAUAACUCCCCGAAAGGGGUGCUAAUACCGGAUAAUGACCUCGUACCAAAGAUUUAUUGCCUUUGGAUGGGCCCGCGUUGGAUUAGCUAGUUGGUAGGGUAAAAGCCUACCAGUGCGACGAUCAAUAGCUGGUCUGAGAGGAUCAUCAGCCACACUGGGACUGAGACACGGCCCAGACUGCUACGGGAGGCAGCAGUGGGGAAUAUUGGACAAUGGGCGAAAGUAUGAUCCAGCAAUGCCGCGUGAGUGAUGAAGGCCUUAGGGUUCUAAAGAUCUUUUACCCGGGAUGAUAAUGUCAGUACCGUGAGAAUAAGCUCCGGCUAACUCCGUG
This 433-nucleotide ribosomal RNA is filed under the name uncultured bacterium. RNAcentral's name for it is "partial 16S ribosomal RNA". It matches the Rfam family "Bacterial small subunit ribosomal RNA", at positions 29 to 507 of the family's 1533-position model. The record is from RNAcentral.